Molecule: ribosomal RNA, 468 nt
Filed under: uncultured bacterium
Lineage: Bacteria
Description: partial 16S ribosomal RNA
Rfam family: Bacterial small subunit ribosomal RNA
Source: RNAcentral
GACGAACGCUGGCGGCGUGCUUAACACAUGCAAGUCGAACGGAAAGGCCCUGCUUUUGUGGGGUGCUCGAGUGGCGAACGGGUGAGUAACACGUGAGUAACCUGCCCUUGACUUUGGGAUAACUUCAGGAAACUGGGGUUAAUACCGGACAGGAGCCCCUGCUGCAGGGUGGGGGUUGGAAAGUUUCGGCGGUUGGGGAUGGACUCGCGGCUUAUCAGCUUGUUGGUGGGGUAGUGGCUUACCAAGGCUUGGACGGGUAGCCGGCCUGGGAGGGUGACCGGCCACAUUGGGACUGAGAUACGGCCCAGACUCCUACGGGAGGCAGCAGUGGGGAAUAUUGCACAAUGGGCGGAAGCCUGAUGCAGCAACGCCGCGUGCGGGAUGACGGCCUUCGGGUUGUAAACCGCUUUCGCCUGUGACGAAGCGUGAGUGACGGUAAUGGGUAAAGAAGCACCGGCUAACUACGUG